ACUUGAAGGAAUUGACGGAAGGGCACACCAGGGGUGGAGCUUGUGGCUUAAUUUGAAUCAACACGGGGAAACUUACCAGGACCAGAUGUUUUUUAUGACUGACAGGCUUCGGGUCUUUCAGGAUAUUGUUUUUGGUGGUGCAUGGCCGUUGGUGGUGCGUGGGUUGACCUGUCUAGCGUUGAUUCAGCUAACGAGCGAGAUUAUCGCCAAUUAUUUACUUUGCCGAAGUCCUUUCGGUUAAAGUUCUAAUUGGGACUCCCUGCGAUUUUAGCAGGUGGAAGAGGGUAGCAAUAACAGGUCCGUGAUGCCCUUUAGAUGCUCUGGGCUGCACGCGUGCUACAAUGUUAGGAUCAAUAGGACUGCGAGCCUGAGAGGGUGCGCUACUCUUAUAAUCCCUAACGUAGUUGGGAUUGACGUUUGUAAUCAGCGUCAUGAACCAGGAAUCCCUUGUAAAUGUGUGUCAACAACGCACGUUGAAUACGUCCCUGCCCUUUGUACACACCGCCCGUCGCUCCUACCGAUUGGAUGACUCGGUGAAAUCACCGGAUGCUUACGAGCAGAAAGUGAUUAAAUCACGUUAUCUAGAGGAAGGAGAAGUCGUAACAAGGUAACGGUAGGUGAACCUGCCGUUGGAUCAGUU
This 640-nucleotide non-coding RNA is filed under the name Trichomonas vaginalis G3. RNAcentral describes it as "Eukaryotic small subunit ribosomal RNA". It matches the Rfam family "Eukaryotic small subunit ribosomal RNA", at positions 1142 to 1831 of the family's 1831-position model. The record is from Rfam by way of RNAcentral. Lineage: Eukaryota; Parabasalia; Trichomonadida; Trichomonadidae.